This 432-nucleotide unclassified non-coding RNA is filed under the name soil metagenome. RNAcentral's name for it is "partial contains 5.8S ribosomal RNA, internal transcribed spacer 2, and large subunit ribosomal RNA". The stretch from base 1 to 120 matches the Rfam family "5.8S ribosomal RNA", at positions 35 to 154 of the family's 154-position model. The record is from RNAcentral.
GAUGAAGAACGUAGCGAAAUGCGAUACGUAAUGUGAAUUGCAGAAUUCAGUGAAUCAUCGAAUCUUUGAACGCAUAUUGCGCUCUCUGGUAUUCCGGAGAGCAUGCUUGUUUGAGUAUCAGUAAACACCUCAACUCCCUUUUCUUUUUUGAAAUGGGAGCUGGACUUGAGUGAUCCCAACACUUUUCUCACUGGAAAGUGGCGGGUCACUUGAAAUGCAGGUGCAGCUGGACUUUUCUCUGAGCUAUAAGCAUAUCUAUUUAGUCUGCCUAAAAAACAGAUUAUUACCUUUGCUGCAGCUAACAUAAAGGAGAUGAGUUCUUGUGCUGACUGAUGCAGGAUUCACAGAGACAGCUUUGCGGCUGACUUUGUAAACUCGAUCUCAAAUCAAGUAAGACUACCCGCUGAACUUAAGCAUAUCAAUAACGGAGGA